Molecule: long non-coding RNA, 263 nt
Organism: Numida meleagris (helmeted guineafowl)
Lineage: Eukaryota; Metazoa; Chordata; Aves; Galliformes; Numididae
Exons: 2
Source: RefSeq, a predicted model, not a curated record
AUCACCAGGUUUCUUGUCACCCUGAAGUCCAAACCAGUGCCCUCUGCUUUGCACCCCCCUCCUGCAGGUUUUGCUCCAUGUCUCUCAUACAGUGAAUGGACAAGGAUAUCCACGUUCCAUAUCAGCAAACUCUGGUACUGCUGAAGAGAGAGCAACAUGCGAAGCAUGGCCAGAAACACCAUACAAAACUGCCUGGUGAUGCCACCCAUUCUGCCAUGAUGCUAGGAUUUCUCUAGUAAGAGAAUAAAAAUGUUGUAAAAGCA